GCUAGGACUCCACACGUCCUCUCAGUAAAUCCCAGGAGACAGGACCCCAGAGGCAUUGCUCUCAUUCAGUGCUCUCGCCUCCCUCCUGGAUUGCCUAGUCAGGAGUGAGACAUGGAGAGGGGCUGAUGUAACCACCCCAGCAGGAGUAAGGAGGCUGGAAGGAGGAAACCAGUGAUGAAGGAUUUGCCAUAACCUUGUCCUGGAUGGAGAGCCAUGGCCAAAGUGGGUGGAGAGGAAUGGCCAUGCAAGGCAGCUGUGAUGGAUUCACCUCUGUGCAAGACAGCUAUGACGGAGUUGAUAGAAAGUGUGAGAACAUGGGCCAC
This 323-nucleotide long non-coding RNA is filed under the name Homo sapiens (human). RNAcentral's name for it is "non-protein coding lnc-WNT4-1:2". Lineage: Eukaryota; Metazoa; Chordata; Mammalia; Primates; Hominidae. The record is from RNAcentral.